RNAcentral lists this microRNA (23 nucleotides) under Dinoponera quadriceps. RNAcentral describes it as "dqu-miR-11654-5p". The record is from miRBase by way of RNAcentral. Lineage: Eukaryota; Metazoa; Arthropoda; Insecta; Hymenoptera; Formicidae.
CUUCCAAAGGUCAUUUUUUCAUC